AAUGAAUGAAACAUCAUUUCUCAAAAAGGCAAAUUACAUGUAUCUAAAAUCAAAUCGGGAAAUGAGUGUCCAGUUAGUCUUCAGCAGAGCUCAGAAAUUACACAACGCAUACACCAUGGCCGGCAUCCUCAAGAAUUUCGCUGCUAGCGCCUUACGCAGCACUGUCACAGCAAGGGCCUUCCAGCGCCACCUGUCCACCACCACACGAUCUCUUGCAGCUGCUGUCACUCAGCCAGCUCCGGGUUUUAAGGGCCAGGCUGUUGUCAAUGGACAGUUUAAGGAAAUCUCUCUUGAGGACUACAAAGGCAAAUAUGUUGUGCUCUUCUUCUAUCCUCUAGACUUCACAUUUGUUUGCCCUACUGAACUGAUUGCCUUCAGUGAAAAAACUGAAGCCUUCAAGGAACUUAAUUGUGAGGUUAUUGGUGUAUCAACCGAUUCUCAUUUCUCACACUUGGCAUGGAAUAACAUGCCCCGAAAGCAAGGAGGUUUGGGUGGCUUGAAAUACCCCCUGCUUGCUGAUUUCAACAAGACCAUCUCAAGAGACUAUGGCGUUCUUCUUGAGGAUGCAGGCAUUGCUCUCCGUGGCCUCUUCUUGAUUGAUCCUGAAUCCAGGGUGUCUUGAAGCACAUGAGUGUAAAUGACUUGCCAGUUGGAAGAUCCGUAGAAGAAACCCUGAGAUUGUUAAAGGCCUUCCAGUUUGUGGCUGAGCAUGGUGAAGUAUGUCCAGCCAAUUGGCAGCCAGAGAGCCCAACCAUCAAGCCUGACCCAGAAGCCUCUCUUGAAUAUUUUGAAAAGGUCAACUAAAAAUAGCAAUGAAAAUAAAACCUUCAAGUAGGGGCUAGCAUCGAGAAUGUCAUCGAAAGAAUAAGGCAGCUGUAUAUGUCAUAUGAUGUGUGUCUGGGCAUUUGCAUUGUAUUUGUUUCUCAAACGAUGGUUUCCCCUUGUAUAGAAAAGAGAUUAAAUGCUUGAGAGUCAUCAGAGUAUUUUCAUUUGUAAAGUGUUGAAAAAUAAAACAAUAAUAAAUCUA
Molecule: non-coding RNA, 1027 nt
Organism: Penaeus vannamei (Pacific white shrimp)
Lineage: Eukaryota; Metazoa; Arthropoda; Malacostraca; Decapoda; Penaeidae
Source: RefSeq, a predicted model, not a curated record